ACGGAUGUGGUGAAAAUGGAAAACACACUAGAUUUAGGAUCUAGGUACUAUUAUAGUAUUAAGGGUUCGAAUCCCUUCAUCCGUA
RNAcentral lists this transfer RNA (85 nucleotides) under Candidatus Shikimatogenerans bostrichidophilus. RNAcentral describes it as "tRNA-Leu". It matches the Rfam family "tRNA". Rfam says of the family: Transfer RNA (tRNA) molecules are approximately 80 nucleotides in length. Their secondary structure includes four short double-helical elements and three loops (D, anti-codon, and T loops). Lineage: Bacteria; Pseudomonadati; Bacteroidota; Flavobacteriia; Flavobacteriales. The record is from RNAcentral.